RNAcentral lists this ribosomal RNA (463 nucleotides) under uncultured bacterium. RNAcentral describes it as "partial 16S ribosomal RNA". It matches the Rfam family "Bacterial small subunit ribosomal RNA", at positions 28 to 507 of the family's 1533-position model. The record is from RNAcentral.
GAUGAACGCUGACAGAAUGCUUAACACAUGCAAGUCUUUGGCGAAGCUAUGCUUGCACAGCCUAGCCAAGGCGGACGGGUGAGUAACGCGUAAGGAACUUGCCCUGCAGUCAGGGAUAACAGACGGAAACGACUGAUAAGACCUGGUAAAGUCAGGCGGACUCAUGUCCAGCCUGAUGAAAAGAGAUGCUGCAGGAGAGCCUUGCGUCCUAUUAGCUUGUUGGUGGGGUAACGGCCCACCAAGGCGAUGAUAGGUAGCCGGCCUGAGAGGGUGGACGGCCACAAGGGGACUGAGAUACGGCCCUUACUCCUACGGGAGGCAGCAGUGGGGAAUAUUGGACAAUGGGGGCAACCCUGAUCCAGCAAUUCUGUGUGCACGAUGAAGGUUUUCGGAUUGUAAAGUGCUUUCAGCAGGGAAGAAAAAAAUGACGGUACCUGCAGAAGAAGCGACGGCUAAAUACGUG